AUUGGACGCUGGCGGCAUGCCUUACACAUGCAAGUCGAACGGCAGCAUGAUCUAGCUUGCUAGAUUGAUGGCGAGUGGCGAACGGGUGAGUAAUACAUCGGAACGUGCCCUGUAGUGGGGGAUAACUAGUCGAAAGAUUAGCUAAUACCGCAUACGACCUGAGGGUGAAAGUGGGGGACCGCAAGGCCUCAUGCUAUAGGAGCGGCCGAUGUCUGAUUAGCUAGUUGGUGAGGUAAAGGCUCACCAAGGCGACGAUCAGUAGCUGGUCUGAGAGGACGAUCAGCCACACUGGGACUUAGACACGGCCCAGACUCCUACGGGAGGCAGCAGUGGGGAAUUUUGGACAAUGGGCGAAAGCCUGAUCCAGCAAUGCCGCGUGUGUGAAGAAGGCCUUCGGGUUGUAAAGCACUUUUGUCCGGAAAGAAAUGGCUCUGGUUAAUACCUGGGGUCGAUGACGGUACCGGAAGAAUAAGGACCGGCUAACUACGUG
RNAcentral lists this ribosomal RNA (490 nucleotides) under uncultured bacterium. Its description in RNAcentral is "partial 16S ribosomal RNA". It matches the Rfam family "Bacterial small subunit ribosomal RNA", at positions 30 to 507 of the family's 1533-position model. The record is from RNAcentral.